CCAAAGGAUGGGAGCUACUUGGAUCAUCAAUAUGAUCUCAAGAGGGGAACUCCUAAUGUGGUUUUAUUUUCUUUUCCCUUAUCUCUUGUAUGUUUAGGAAUUUAACCCUUUUCCCCCAUUCUAACCCAAGCCAAAACUUUUUGUGCAAACAAUAACUUUUGUUUUCAACAUUAGAAACCUAAGUCUUAUGCUUUUGAUUUUCAAAACUUAUUUUUCAUAACACUUAUUCUGAAUUGAACCUUUUAAUC
This 248-nucleotide long non-coding RNA is filed under the name Lathyrus oleraceus (garden pea). RNAcentral describes it as "Pisum sativum (pea) long non-coding RNA (PSAT_LNC023212)". Lineage: Eukaryota; Viridiplantae; Streptophyta; Magnoliopsida; Fabales; Fabaceae. The record is from RNAcentral.